CCGGGGGAGGGGAGGACGGGCAUAGGGGGGCCCCCGGGGACGACCCCCGCCCCGCGCUCCGGAGCGGCCGAAGCGCACAGUCGCCGGGCGCGAUCGCGCCUACCCUUCCCGGACCCGGUGUCAGUCCGACUGGGCCGUGGAGGAGUGGCCGCGGCGGGGCUGUGGGUCUCGGGCGCCCGAGGGGAGCCAAGUGCGCGGCAGGGGGCGGGCGGGCCACUGGGAAGGUCAGGUCCGCGCGGACCACGCCGCCAGACCGAGUUUCCGGUCACCUCCGGGUGUGAGUGGCGGGACCCGAGAGGACUCGUGAGGACUCUGCCAUUUUGGGGUUUGAGCGGGAUCCAGCCAAGGCGCAACGGUUGGCUUCGGGACCACUUCUGCUAAUUUCACCCCGGCUCAAGGAAGUGAUUUUCGGGGGUUGUGGUUCCCCAUCCUCUCCUCCCUCCUUUCUUUCUUUCUGCGGGCACAAAAGACCCAUUACUCAUUGAGCUGGUUGGUCGGUUAGUUUGGAGAAGUCGGAUCGCAGAGGUUUAUUUAGCCUCGCUCCUUAUUUGGGAGCCGGAAUGUGUGAUUUCACUUCCCUGGGCCUCCCGAGCGCGGCCGUGCAGCCUUGGGGCGCGCCGGCCCUGGAGGUGCCAGGCUGGAGAUUCCGCGGGGACACCGCCCCCCGGGCGCGGGGGAGGGACUGUUUUGAUCCGAGAGCAGCCCCCCCCCCACCUUCAGUGCCUAUGAGGCUCCAGAUGGGAGGCCAGCAGGCUCUGGCGCGAUGUCUGCUGUUUCCAUAGCUCCAUUGAUCAUUGUGAACCCGGUCUCUAAACCACGGCUUGGCUCGGUGCUGAUUCCGCAAAUCGGAGAUGGCCACUUAAGCCCUGGACAUAGGCGAUUGGUGGACAGUAGGAGGGAGCGUUAUCCUUGAGCUGGGGAAACCCAACCUCGGUUUUUUUUUUUCUUUUUUAAGGGGGUGUGGUGGUUGGGGGUGGGGAGGGGAUGAGGAUUUAAGUGAGAAUACCUAUUUCAGAAGUUAAACAGAAUGGACUUGGAGGUCUGAUGUGAUGGGUGGGUCCCUAGUGCAGUGUGAGCCAGUGUUCAGGGUCACUAAAAAGGUUUUCCCCUCAGAUUUCAGAUCAAACCACAUCUCUAAAGGUGACACAUCAGGCCUGUUUCCCCUGGGGCGUCUUAAUGAUUGGAGGAGAAGAAAAAUACUUCCUGUGUUAUAUUUUUCUCUUCCCCCUGGCUGCCCACCCCAACUAGCUGUAUCUCAGCUAUUAAUACAAAACUCAGAUAGGUGUGAUGGGUGGAACUGUUGGAAUAUAUAAUUAGAUGUAAUAGAACUCUGGUACUUUGCAGUUGCAGAGGGCAAGCAGGUCCAAUUUCCAGAUUUUAAGGCCUCUAAAAUUAUUUCCUUGCUGCUUGCAUCCUCCUUUUGGGGGUGGGGGGUGGGGAGCUUUCAGCUAGCCCCAACAUUGUCAGAUUCUUUGGUUUUUACUGUAAGCUGUUGCUGUGGGCUUUUUGGUUGCUGUGCCUUAGACCACUUUUUCCAUACUCGUAAGUGGGGACAGGGAGGAGGUGUGGUGGUUUAACUGUGGCUCUGACCUUGGGGAGUGGAGUUGAGUGAAGACUGUUUGACCACAGUUAACCUGUACUGGUGAGGAAGUGACAGACGUUCUUUCUGGGAGAGUUUUCUAUCCCUCUGAGAGGCCAUCUGCCUUCACCCAUCAGCAGAUAGCUGUUCAUUCCCUUAGAUAGUUGGACUAUUAUAAUAAAGACUUCAGAACAAAAGCUCUCAACUUCUUUUUAUUCUAUUUAAUGACACAGAAAACCAAACGCUAAAAUGUUUUAGGGUGGCAAUUCAGAUUUCUCUUGUAAUUCAGAUUUCUGUUAUUGUAAUGAAUAGGAGAGAGAUUUGGAUGUUUCCCUUCCGUAAAUAGUUUCCAAAGGAAAAAUCCAGCAGCAUUUUAAAUAACACUCAUAAUUCAUCCAUCUUAGGUUAGAAGUGGGUGAAGAUUGAAGUCAGUCUGUUUUGACAGGCAGUCUGCUCCCAGAUCUUAUAAGUUGACUCAACUGUUAAAUUGUAGAUUCCCACACAUCUUUGUGUAAAAACUUAAUAAUAGAGGAAGAAAGAAGGUAUGAGGCAUUCGGAGACCGACAGCAGUGUCAACAGCACUUCCAUAUCCAAAUAUUGGCUAAGACAUAAUUACAGCUUGUGGGGGGAAUCUGGUCCAAAGAAUCCUGUUUGAGACAUACACCAAAGAGAUUUCUAGAUCGUGAAUCUUGAUGAACUUAACUUUAGGUGCUGAGUAGUGAAGUGAUUUUCAAAACCAGGAGUGUUUUGAUUAUAAAACAAGAGGGAUGGACGUUGUGGGCUAGGACGGAUUGCCCCAUUGGGAAGGUGCCUGUAGAAAAAGGGAUCAGACCGGUACUCGACAUUGUGUGUUAGGCCAUUCCUGGGGAUUUGGGGCAGGAGCUGUAAGGCUGGAGCAGGGCUUCUGCUGUUUCACAGCUCUGAGAGUGGAUGGGAGGUGGUGGCUACCAUGUCCUGCUCCUUUUGUGGUCUGGUGACCUCUUAGCCCUCUUAAGUGAAAUCAGUGCUUAAAAAAAAAAAAAAAAGUCCCAACUCGCGCUGCUGCUUUUCUACCUCCACCCCAGAGAGCCGACAUUUUAGUGCUUUUAGUGGGUGCUGUGACCUCACCUCACCAUCUAUCCUGGCUGCUCUUUCUAUGUUCUGAGUGUUACUCACACUUGGUCAGAGUCGGAAGGGACUUCAGAGGUCAUCUCAUCUAACCCCCUUGUCUUCCAGAUGAGAAAACCAAGACCCAGAGCAAAAACUCACUGGAGGUAAUAGAGCCAUGCACUUGGCAGAGGCAGGAUUAGAACCCAGGACACCUGACUCCCUGUCUCAGGCCUUUUCCCACUUCAUAACUGCAAUGAUGUCAGCAGGCUCAGACCUGGGGUUGGCGGCUGCUCCAGAGCCCCUUAGGCCUGAGGCACUACUCUCUCACCCCCUUGAUUGUUGGCGAGGGGGUGCCGGGUGGAUAUUUAUUGCUUCCCCAGCAAUAACCCCUGAAGUUGAAGGGGCAGCGUCUGUACAACUCAGCAGCUUCAUGAGUUUUAAAUCGGGUAAGAAGCUUUUCUAAAAAACAAAAAUUUAUACCAUCUCCACCCCUGUUAGGGAGUGUUUGAUAGACAUCUUACUUUUUUUUUUGUAUAAGAACGUAGGAAUUCUGUUAACUGUUUCUUCGGUAAGGACACCUAGUCUCAACCCACUUGGGUGAUAAUUGGUUGUAUUCCCCAUGGGGUUGGUUCCUCAGCUGCUUCCUGCAUCUCUGUGUCAUACGGACUCUUGGGUAUUAGCUGAACAAAUUUAAUUAAAGCUGGCACUGUUGUCCCUCUCCGUUGCAUGACUCUGAUUAGUUGAAGCAUAUUAUUGCUUUACAAAAUACAGAAUGUUGUCAUACCUUAUCUCCGUUUAUCUUUCCAUUGCGUGGAUUAGAGAAAACAAUGUCCUGUGAUGUCUUCUCCUUUCCUUUCUCCAGUGGUUCUCCCUCCCCAGGUCACUUUGUGUCACUAUGGUGUGGCUUCCUUUGGUGUUCUGAAGGGGAGAUAAUUGGAACCUCCCACGCUGCUUCUGGACGCAGAGGGAGACACAGGAGCUCCCCCAGCCCCACAGGACAGGCAGCGGCCUCUCGGGCACAUCUCCUGCUGAAUACCUCCUGGGAAGCAAGAUUGGUAGCAUGGCAGCCUGCCGGCGGUGUCCUGAAUGCAGUUUGCUGGAUGGAAUCACAUGGGGGGGGGGAAGUUUCAUUGACUAAAUCGGUCUCUUUUCUUGUGAAGAAAAAGAGAGCCUGAGGUGGAGGAGUGGCAGGAGAGGGGGAGAGAAUCUCAAACAGAUUCCAGGCCCAGCAUGGAGCCCGAGGCGGAACUUAAUCUCAGGACCCUGAGAUCAGGACCUGAGCUGAAAUCAAGUCAGACACUUAACUAACUGAGCCACCCAGGUGCCCCACAUCAGCCUCUUUUAUAUCUACUGAGGUUCUAGGUUGUUAAUGGUUCGCUGAGCAUACUAAGAAUGCUUUAUUGUAUGGAGGAUACAGACAUAUAAAGUGCCUUAAAAUUUAGGGGGUCAAAAAACCAACUUGGAGAAGGCAUUAACAGAUGUAGUCUGUGUUGUCCAGUAUGGCAGCCAAUAUCCAUUCAUGGCUGUUUAAACUAAAAUUAAUUAAUCUAACUUAAAUUAAAAAUCAGCUAGCCACCUUUCAAGUAUUCAGUAGCUACACAUGGCUACUGGCUGCUGAGCUGGAUAGUGCGGAAGAAUAUACUCGUCCUGAUAGAAGGUUCUGCAUGGUGUUGGUCUAGAGGUGAAAUCGUGUGGCUGGGGGUAGAAGAAUUUUGGAAGGGAAAUCUGUGAGGACCGUAGGAGCCAGAGACGGCUCAUUGCUGGGCCUCUGAAGUAUAAGCAGAUCUGUAGGAGGGGCUGGUGACACUGGCCCUGAGAGGAGAACAGGAGAUCAGGUGGGCAAGGAGCCAGUAGGGUUGGUGGCCCAGAAUUGAACCAAACCUAGCUUUAUAUUAAAAGUAAUUUUUACAGUAUUUGAGGGGCACGAAGUAAACUAACAGGCUGUUGUAAAGAAGGGUGGCAAAUCACCGAGGUUCAGACUGGGGAGGCCUAGUUUCUGGUUUCAGAGACCCCCCUCCCUCUUGUGGGGCCUUGGCCCCUGUUUACUGCAGCCGGACUCUUGGCAUCCACUGAGGCAGGAUCAGAGUUGGAUCACCUCAUGGUCCUUUUUCACCUGUGAAUUCUGGGCUUCGAUCGAGCUUGAAAAUAAUCUCUAGCUAAGAUGUGGGAUCAGUGGCUGAUGGAAGGGAGGAGAAAAGGAGCCCCAGGCCUCAGGACCAGAUAUUGGUGGAUACCUGGGAAAUGAAGAGGUUCCCUUUCAGCAGGAUGAAGGUAUUGGUGCCCAUGAUUAAGAUGUUUUGACUGCUUGGGACCAGAGGAGUUGACCCAUCAUCAGUUGGUGAGUCUCCUUAAGAAGCAGGUGUCAGGAUUCAGGGAGAAGCUUGGAGGAGUCAAGCUUCAGGACUACAGACUUAAUCCCUGGCCAGAUCCUGGGGUUGGAGGAGGGGCAAAAGCUCCUGUCACCCGUGAAUCCCGGGGAUGUGAGUGUCAGCCACAGUGGGGAAGGACAGAGCAUUGACAUCUGUAUUGGAGUCCUUCUGUGAUUCCCAAGAGGCCCUCCCAUGCUCUGAUUCAGGACUGUCCCUGGUGGUUUGAGGUCCUGCUUCCUUUCUUCUGAUUCAGGCCCUUCCACGGGCCAUGUGGCAUCUCCUUUCUUCUCUCUUCCUUGGACUGCACUCUUCCAGGUGCUUCAGUGUACUAGGAGGGAGGUGGGCAGGCAGGGCAGGGUUGUUCUUUGUGUUCGAAGGGGCUGCGCCUGCUCUUGGUAAUGAUGUAAGGCCAGGUGGUAAAGAGACCCAUACCUCAUUGCACCUUAGAGCUGGUGACACUCCCUGAUUGUCUUUCUUGACUCCUUCCAUCUCACUGGAGUGGGAGGCUAGGCCAGUCACUAAAGGGUCAGCGCUAUGUCCAAGGUCUUACCAUGUGUCUUCGUCAGGCACACAGUUCCCUGGAACCUCCUCUUAGGCUGGGUUCCUUUGGUUUUUUUUUGGUUGCUAGAGAGAUGGUGGCCCUUGCAGUGCAAAACUGAGCUCACCUAACUGGUCACUAGGCUUUUUCUACAUAGGCCACCUCAUAAAUGGGGACAUUGGUAAAGAGAAGGGGCCACGCCACUGGGGAGCUUGAUGUACACCAGCUGUGUAACCCAAAUCAGAUUUUGUACCUUUUCUCAUCAUUAGAGGGAUACAGAUAUUUUGCAUUUUAAAGUAUAUAUGGAUACGAAUUUUUAUCUUAUUAUUGGUUAAGUGCCAGAGAAGAAAGCAAAAAAAGGGGUCCAGUCUAUGUGCCCUGCUAACGGGUCAUGUGACCUUGAGUAGGUCAGUUAAAUUUUCCAGGCUUUGGUGCAUAUGUCAGAGGUCAGGCUACCAGUUGCUCCUGAGCACUGGUAUUGGGGAGUGGUGGAAGGCUGGGCCGGGGAAAGAGGCCAAGAGCUGUCAGGAUGGCUUGCUGACCUCCGUGUCUGACCAUCAGCAGCACCUGGGCCAGCAUGGAUGACCUUUUGAUAGGCUUGAUGCUAGGCUCUAGGGGAGCUGCGUCCAGUUAAUUACUAAUCAUCACUGACCCGCUGCUCCUUCUCUUGUGCGAAGACUUGGAAAGUGUUCCAGCUAGUGCACCAGCAGAGAGGAUGGGCUGUGUAACUUGAGGGUGGGGUUGGUGUGGGGAUCCAUUCUUACCCUGAAGUCAGAAGAAUCUUAGUAUAGUGGUGUCUGAAGGUGGAGAUGAGGAAUUCUUCAUGUUCUCCAUCUGAAACUUUGUUCCCAUUUGAGCUGUGGGGCCACACAUGGCUGCUGUGACUGGUUGUUAAGGCUGUGUCCUGCACGGGACACCCAGCUGAGGGACGGAGUGAGGGCUGCAAUCUAACCCACUGUCCACUAGGCAGGCUUUGGGUUGGCUUGUGGCUGGGCUCAUCCAAGUGGGUUUCUAAUUCACCGGAGAUGUGGAAUGGACUGGGAGCUGUUCAGAGGUGAGAGGUGGGGACUGUUCCCAAAGCUGAUGAAGAAAUUAGGAUUUACAUCCAGGCACCACUCACCCGCCCUUCCCCAAGGCUGUGUGAGACUGGAUAUCUGAAGUCCAAAGAAGCAAGAGGAGAAAGGAAUGCCCGGAACUGUCUGUUCUCUCUCCUUUUCUUCCUGUUCACUUAAUGUUGAAGCAGUAGUUUCAGCCCUGAAGCUUUGGACUAUGGGGUCCUGUGUGCCAGGCCAUCGUCUGUGGUUGGAGGAAGAAGACACGCAGUGGAAAGGGGAUGAGCCCUCUGGCAGAGCAGGGCUGGGGGUCUUUAUUCUCUGAUCCAGUAAAUAUCUCUGUGUGCUAGCCGGCGGGUGGGAGAGGCUGGGACGGCGGGUGGGAGAGGCUGGGACGGGGCUCCGAGGUCAAACCCGGUCUGUAACUCUUGUUCCCCUCCAAGACGGGCCAAGCUCUGUGUUUAUUCUGCUAGGAACCUGAGCUGCCCAGAAGGGUCAUAUGAAAGGGCAUCUUACUCUUGAGGGACGUCCCAGGCAUCUCCGUGGCCAGUGUCCAUGGAGCACUUAUCUGGAAGGUGAGGAGUGGUGGCUAAAGGCAGAAACUGGCCACUGUUCGAAGCCUUUUCUGUCUCAGAGAAGAGGAGGGGAACACAGGGGGCUUUACUGUUGAUGCCUUCUCUCUGCUUCACUUGCGUCCACUGAGUCUUCUGAACCGAAAGCAGAGGCGAAGGGGACCUACUGCCAAACCCCUGCCGGCUCCUCCACCUUCACACCCCUCUGGGGCGCCUUGCCCCCCAGCCCUCGGUGGCAGGUGAUGGCGUCCAUCACUUCGCUGCCAUUGUGAUGAUCCAUAGUGUCACUAGGCUCCCAGCCUACACAGGGGACAUUUGCAACCUGGCCUCCCGCCCAGGGCCUGGAACUGUUACUCAGCCCCUCUGUCCCAACAGCUAAAAAUAAACCUGCCAGUGCUUCAGUCUCCCCUCACAGCCCGGCCCUGCCGUCUGCCCCAGGUCUUGCAGCCACACUGCGGACCUGAGUCUCUCUCCACGCACUUGGUCUCCCCACGUGCCCCCUUCUAUUGUAGCUGGGAGUGAGCCAUGGCUGCUGCUGCACCAGGUGUCAUAUCUCCCUCCUAGCGCUCAGGAAAGCAAGUUGCCCCCAACCACCAGACAAGCCCCGGCUAUAAGAGAAGAGGCAGUGCAUACACAGGCUCCGUGGGGGUGCCUGGCUUCUUCUCCGUCAGGGGAAGGGUUAGGGGGAGGGUGCGAAAGUUCAUCAGAGUCCAUGAGACUUUCCCCUGUGUUUCCUCCUGCUCUGGCUUCCUCCAGGCUGCACUGGCAAGCAGGCCUCCCCGCCAGAAGGUGUGUGGGGAUGAGUGGGAGAGCCCCGUGUGAGGCUGUCCCAGGCCCUCACCCCGACUGCCCUGUGACUGAGCAGGCUACCUGCCCUAGGACUCCUGCCCUGUUGCCAAGCUAAAUUCUCCCCCUCUGCAGUGUGGGGCUUCGGGUUACCACGCUCAGAAGCAUAACCUCAUCCUGUUGGCUUCCAAGGCUCACUAGGCCCUGGCUCUCGGGCCUCCUUCCUGAGUCAGGCCAGGGCCCCUCUGGCCUUUCCAGCUUCUCCACCUGCAGUGGGUCACAGAGAACUUGGGUCUCUUAUGUCUCCUGACGGUCGGGGCAGGGUUAUUGCUACCUACGUGCGCUGAAGUCCAUUGAGGUGGUCUCUUCCCCUACUGCCUAGGGAUCCUGGGCAGGUGAGGGAAAGGGGCUCAGGUAGCUGGGGUACCUGUGUAACCGAUAGAUACUGGGCAGAGUAUUUCUUUUAGCUCGACUUUGGCAUUCUCUUCUUUCUGAUUUAUCUAAUCCUUGGACAGGUGUUGGUACUAACCAUGCAAACAAAGGUUCUGCGUCUUUUUUCUGAGCUUGGGGUUUGUUUGGGAGAAGAGGUGUGUGAGGGAGAGUAAUAGGAGCCGAGGUAGGUCUUGGGGGGCCCUCUGGCUUCACCUAGAGUUGCAUACUGGACCAUGUCUCUGUGGACUGCUUUCUCCUGUCUGUCCCCCUGGGGCCUCAUUUUCUCUGCAGGGAGAGAUUUAUCUGCCAAGGCCCAUUGGCUUCUGGAGGGAGGAGUUGGGUGUAAAUUGCUAAGAGUUUAUUUUUAACUCUGACAGAAGGAGCUCCUGUCCUUGGAGUAACCGUACCCUCCCUCUUCUCUGUCCCAGGCCUCCUUCUCUGACUUCUGUAAUUCUUAGAGGAAGGCUUGUAGAUUCUAAAGGCCAGCCUUCAGUGGAGCUGGGGAAUUGAAGCCUCUCUAAGUGGAGAACCUGCAGAUUGCUUGGCAGGCCUGACUUCUCUAGAGCUCAGAGGACCGUGGGGGGCAGGGAAGUGGAGAGGGAGCCCUGGACAUUGGAGGCUGCAGGUGUGGAACUUAGAGCAUCCUAGGAAUGCAGGUGGACUGGUGGGGAGGCCACAGGGGCCUUGGAACUUGGAGCACCCUGUCAACUCUCCUGUGCUGGCGAUGGUAGCAGGGGUCAUCUUGUGCCCUUCGCCAUGCCUCUGUCCUUACAGGCACCCAGAUCUCUGAAGGGUAGAAGGAAAUGGGGACAGAAUGAGUGUGUAUAGUAGCCUGCUUUGUAAAUGCUUAUGUUUAUAGAAACACUGAAGUUUUGUUAUUUCCUCUGACUGUUGGGCUCCCAAGCGUCCCAUCCUUUCCACUGGAGCCUGUGGUAUUCUCCGUGGCUUCAUACCUUCCGUGUCCCCCUACCCUGGCAGGGUGCUGGUCACCUGGGCUCCUAGCCUGGGGGAAGAGAGGCAUGAGCACCCCUUAGCCUGUGUCUGGACCCUUCUGAUCUCAUGGACUUGUUUUGGUUACCUUGCCUUAGAUUUUUAAAAAGCACAUAAACUGGAGUUUGAGGUAUAAUUAGAGAAAGAAGGAAUGGAGAGCAGGGGGGUGGGGUGGGGGCCAGGAGAGACACAUGGCUGCCUCUGAGAACCUCAGCUGGGGAAGGAAGGGCUUGCCCCCUCAGGGCCUUGGGGGAUUACUUUGCCUAAAGCCCAGCUCUGUUCAUGUAGCUUCCCAGGUUAAACCCUUCAGUGGGUUCACUUUGCCUGUAGAAUAUAGGAGAUUUCCAGAUCCUUCCUUGAUCUGACCCCAAUCUGGUUUUUGUUUUUCUGAAUACUUGCUAUGUUUCAGCUUAAGUGGCUUACGUUUGCUGUUUCCUGAAUAGGACCCUGUCCCGUCCUCCCCACCCCCCUGCACCUUUGCCCAUGCAUGGUGACAGUAUGCCCUCAUUAAAAAAAAAAAUCAUAGAGUAUUUUGGCAUCAUGCAUUGUACCUAGCUGCCUAAUAAAGGUAUGGUAAUUGAA
Molecule: long non-coding RNA, 9989 nt
Organism: Ailuropoda melanoleuca (giant panda)
Lineage: Eukaryota; Metazoa; Chordata; Mammalia; Carnivora; Ursidae
Exons: 2
Source: RefSeq, a predicted model, not a curated record